CUCUUCUUUCAUACAGUUGUGUGACAUGACAACUUUCUGCCACGAUUGGCUCUCACAUACUACAGAGCCUUAGAGAGUGAACAAGUUGUGCUUUCUGAGGGAGGCAGAUUUUUUCCUGACAUGGCUUCAGAAAUCACUUAUGCAGAAGUGAGGAUCACAAAAGAAUCCAACUCCUUGGGCACCUACUCAAAAUGUCCUGCAGCUGCCAGAGAGAAACAUCCCUGUCAGCUAAGUAAGCCUGGUUCCCCCUCGCUGCUUUUUACAUCCCUGAUGGUAUUUCUCCUGCUGCUGGCAAUCACAUUCUUAGUUGUUUUCAUCAUUUAUUUUCAAAAGUACUCUCAACUUCUUGAAAAAAAAGCUAUAAAAGAUAUAACUCACAAUGAACUGCACUGCACAAAAAAUGUUUCACUCAUGGAAGACAAAGACUGGAGCUGUUGCCGGAAGGAUUGGAAACCAUUUGGUUCCUACUGCUACUUCAUUUCAAAUGACUUAGAGGCAUCUUGGAAUGAGAGUAAGGAGAACUGCUCCCUCAUGGGUGCUCAUCUGGUGGUGAUCCACAGCCAGGAAGAGCAGGAUUUCAUCACCGGGAUCCUGGAGACUGGUGCUGGUUAUUUUAUAGGGCUUUUAGAUGCUGGUCAAAGACAAUGGCGCUGGGUUGAUCAGACACCAUACAAUAAGAGUGCCACAUUCUGGCACAGUGGUGAGCCCAACCAAGCCUCUGAACAAUGUGUUAUAAUAAAUCAUCGUAAGAAUACUGGAUGGGGCUGGAAUGAUAUCCCUUGCAGUGAUAAACAGAAGUCAGUUUGUCAGGUGAAGAAAAUACACUUAUGAACCACAUAUUCUCCAUGGGCACACCAUUGCAUUGUUACCUGUUGUUACAUGGACAACUGGGAAGUUCUGUAAAUGGAAGAGUUUUUCACAGAAUUUAAGUGGGAAACAAAUGGUUAUGUGUAAUGAAACAUUGGCCCACAUAUAUUCUUGCAUAGUCAUCCACGUAUUUAGUCAUAAAAUGAGCUUUUGUUGAGAAUUUUCUGUGUAGCAUCGACUAUAUAGGGACCCACUUGUGCACACAUGAUGCUUUGCUGCCAACUCCCCAUGAUGCUUUGCUGCCAACUCCCCAUGAUGCUUUGCUGCCAACUCCCCAUGAUGCUUUGCUGCCAACUCCCCAAGCUUUCAUUUACUCAUGCCAUUGUAUGGCACAGUGGGAGUGUGUGAUGUCAUGAGGAGGUACCUGGGAUACCGAUGCAGACAAGUGAGCAGGCUGAAGUGAUGGAGUGGACCAAGACAGCAGAGCCACAGGAAUUUGAAGGAAGUGUGUUAUCUCAGAGCCAGCAGUCCUUGAGAAAACAAGAAACCAAUCGUUGAAAGGGGGAUGUAAAAACAAAGGAUUUCAUUGGAAGACUGUGACACGUAAGAUGGAAUGGAGUCUGCUGGUCCCUGAGACUCUGGUCAGCCACUGUGAUUUCCAUCUUACUCCUCAGCACCUGUUUCAUUGUGAGCUGUGUGGUGACUUACCAGUUUAGCAUGGACAAGC
Molecule: RNA transcript, 1534 nt
Organism: Mastomys coucha (southern multimammate mouse)
Lineage: Eukaryota; Metazoa; Chordata; Mammalia; Rodentia; Muridae
Gene name: C-type lectin domain family 4 member A-like
Exons: 9
Source: RefSeq, a predicted model, not a curated record